RNAcentral lists this ribosomal RNA (490 nucleotides) under uncultured bacterium. Its description in RNAcentral is "partial 16S ribosomal RNA". It matches the Rfam family "Bacterial small subunit ribosomal RNA", at positions 30 to 507 of the family's 1533-position model. The record is from RNAcentral.
AUUGAACGCUGGCGGCAGGCCUAACACAUGCAAGUCGAACGGUAACAGGAAGAAGCUUGCUUCUUUGCUGACGAGUGGCGGACGGGUGAGUAAUGUCUGGGAAACUGCCUGAUGGAGGGGGAUAACUACUGGAAACGGUAGCUAAUACCGCAUAACGUCGCAAGACCAAAGAGGGGGACCUUCGGGCCUCUGGCCAUCGGAUGUGCCCAGAUGGGAUUAGCUAGUAGGUGGGGUAACGGCUCACCUAGGCGACGAUCCCUAGCUGGUCUGAGAGGAUGACCAGCCACACUGGAACUGAGACACGGUCCAGACUCCUACGGGAGGCAGCAGUGGGGAAUAUUGCACAAUGGGCGCAAGCCUGAUGCAGCCAUGCCGCGUGUAUGAAGAAGGCCUUCGGGUUGUAAAGUACUUUCAGCGGGGAGGAAGGGAGUAAAGUUAAUACCUUGGCUCAUUGACGUUACCCGCAGAAGAAGCACCGGCUAACUCCGUG